GUCUACAGCCAUACCACCCUGAAUGUGCCGAUCUUGUCUGAUCUCAGAAGCUAAGCAGGGUCGGGCCUGGUUAAUACUUCGAUGGGAGACCACCUGGGAAUACUGGGUGCUGUAGGCU
This 118-nucleotide ribosomal RNA is filed under the name Aotus nancymaae (Ma's night monkey). Lineage: Eukaryota; Metazoa; Chordata; Mammalia; Primates; Aotidae. The record is from RNAcentral.